Bos taurus (domestic cattle) is the source of this 2259-nucleotide long non-coding RNA. NCBI's taxonomy places the organism in Eukaryota, Metazoa, Chordata, Mammalia, Artiodactyla, Bovidae. The record is from Ensembl.
UUUGGAGCUCAAAAAAAUAAAGUCUGACAUUGUUUCCACUGUUUCCCCAUCUAUUUCCCAUGAAAUGAUGGGACCAGAUGCCAUGAGCUUCGGUUUCUGAGUGUUGAGCUUUAAGCCAACUUUUUCAGUCUCCUGUUUCACUUUCAUCAAGAGGCUUUUUAGUUCCUCUUCACUUUCUGCCAUAAAGGUGGUGUCAUCUGCAUAUCUGAGCUUAUUGAUAUUUCUCCCGGCAAUCUUAAUUCCAGCUUGUGCUUCUUCCAGCCCAGCGUUGCUCAUGAUGUACUCUGCAUAGAAGUUAAAUAAGCAGGGUGACAAUAUACAGCCUUGAUGUACUCCUUUUCCUAUUUGGAACCUAUCUACCAUUUUCACUUGUAGAUUAAGCAAUUGUAAAUGUUUUAGAAUUAUUAAUGCACUCUACACAGAAGAACUGUACAAAAAAGAUCUUCACAACCAAGAUAAUCACGAUGGUGUGAUCCCUCACCUAGAGCCAGACAUCCUGGAAUUUGAAGUCAAGUGGGCCUUAGAAAGCAUCACUACAAACAAAGCUAGUGGAGGUAAUGGAAUUUCAGUUGAGCUAUUUCAAAUCCAGAAAGAUGAUACUGUGAAAGUGCUGCAUUCAAUAUGCCAGCAAAUUGGAAAACUCAGCAGUGGCCACAGGACUGGAAAAGGUCAGUUUUCAUUCCAAUCCCAAAGAAAGGCAAUGCAAUAGAAUGCUCAAACUACUGCACAAUAGCACUCAUCUCACACGCUGGUAAAGUAAUGCUCAAAUUUCUCCAAGCCAGGCUUCAGCAAUACAUGAACCGUGAACUUCCAGAUGUGCAAGCUGGUUUUAGAAAAGGCAAAGGAACCAGAGAUCAAAUUGCCAACAUCCGCUAGAUCAUCAAAAAAAGCAAGGGAGUUCCAGAAAAACAUCUAUUUCUGCUUUAUUGACUAUGCCAAAGCCUUUGACUGUGUGGAUCACAAUAAACUGUGGAAAAUUCUGAAAGAGAUCAGAAUACCAGACCACCCAACCUGCCUCUUGAGAAACCUAUAUGCAGAUCUGGAGGCAACAGUUAGAAGUGGACAUGGAACAACAGACUGGUUCCAAAUAGGAAAAGGAGUUUGUCAAGGCUGUAUAUUGUCACCCUGCUUAUUUAACUUCUAUGCAGAGUACAUCAUGAGAAACUCUGGGCUGGAUGAAGCACAAGCUGGAAUCAAGAUUGCCGGGAGAAAUAUCAAUAACCUCAGAUAUGCAAAUGACACCACCUUUAUGGCAUAAAGUGAAGAAGAACUAAAGAGCCUUUUGAUGAAAGUGAAAGAGGAGAUGGAAAAGUUGGCUUAAAACUCAACAUUCAGAAAACUAAGAUCAUGGCACCCGGUCCCAUCACUUCAUGGCAAAUAGACGGGGAAACCAUGGAAACAGUGGCUGACUUUAUUUUGGGGGGCUCCAAAAUCACUGCAGAUGGUGACUGCAGCCACAAAAUUAAAAGACGCUUACUCCCUGGAAGGAAAGUUAUGACCAACCUAGACAGCAUAUUAAAAAGCAGAGACAUCACUUUGCCAACAAAGGUCCAUGUAGUCAAAGCUAUGUUUUUUCCAGUAGUCAUAAUUGGAUGUGAGAGUUGGAUUAUAAAGAAAUCUGAGUGCUGAAGAAUUGAUGCUUUUGAACUGUGGUGUUGGAAAAGACUCUUGAGAGUCCCUUGGACUGAAGGGAGAUCCAACCAGUCCAUCGUAAGGGAAAUCAGUCCUGAAUAUUCAUUGGAAGGACUGAUGUUGAAGCCAAAACUCUAAUACUUUGGCCAGCUGAUGAGAAGAGCUGACUCAUUUGAGAAGACCUUGAUUCUAGGAAAAAUUGAAGGCGGGAGGAGAAGGGGGACAACAGAGGAUGAGAUGGUUGGAUGGCAUCACUGACUAAAUGGACAUGAGUUUGGGUAAACUGGAGUUGGUGAUGGACAGGGAGGCCUGGCGUGCUGCACUUCUUGGGGUUGCAACGAGUCAGACACAUUGCAGUCAGUUCAGUUGGAGCGACUGAACUGAAGUGAAUUGAAAUAUUAGAGAUAUAUCAAUAUUUUUACUCAAGAUAAAUAGCAGAGCUAGAUAGUUGAUAAGAAAAUAAAAAUCCAGAAUGCAAAAUUUACUGAAACCCAUCAUUCAAUAAUCUAUACUUAUCUCAACCUUAAUUUGUUCUUGUUAUUAACGGAAAUAUCUAUUGAAAAUUGUGUUGGAAACUUCUGAGUUUCCUUAAAUCUUGCAUUUCCUUGAAUAUUAGGUAUCUUUUUC